Molecule: ribosomal RNA, 253 nt
Filed under: uncultured bacterium
Lineage: Bacteria
Description: partial 16S ribosomal RNA
Rfam family: Bacterial small subunit ribosomal RNA
Source: RNAcentral
UACGUAGGGGGCAAGCGUUAUCCGGACUUACUGGGUGUAAAGGGAGCGUAGACGGCAGAGCAAGUCUGAAGUGAAAGCCCGCGGCCCAACUGCGGGACUGCUUUGGAAACUGCCCGGCUAGAGUGCUGGAGAGGUAAGCGGAAUUCCUAGUGUAGCGGUGAAAUGCGUAGAUAUUAGGAGGAACACCAGUGGCGAAGGCGGCUUACUGGACAGUAACUGACGUUGAGGCUCGAAAGCGUGGGGAGCAAACAGG